Molecule: long non-coding RNA, 304 nt
Filed under: Heterocephalus glaber (naked mole-rat)
Lineage: Eukaryota; Metazoa; Chordata; Mammalia; Rodentia; Bathyergidae
Description: lncRNA (ENSHGLG00000032264.1)
Source: RNAcentral
GCUUAAAGUAGUCAGGGCCUCACCAUUUGUUUGAGUCUUGGAAGUACCCAGCAUUUCCAAGAGCCGUAACUGCGUCAUGAAUUUGUUGAUGUCCCAAUUUCCCUUUGUACAAUCAGGGCAUAUGGAUGUCACAUCCCCACUACUCAUGCAGUGAUUUCCUGGGGAGUACAGCACCGAGGUAAUCACCACCGAGGAAAGCGAAAGCAAAAGACGGAGUCAUGGGUUUCAGCCAUAGUCUCGGUUUCACUGGAGCUGUGUCAAGCAGCGAGAUUGUGACCGUGGCCUGUGCCAGCAAGAGAGCCGG